RNAcentral lists this long non-coding RNA (1492 nucleotides) under Ananas comosus (pineapple). Its description in RNAcentral is "long non-coding RNA (ACOM_LNC042498)". The record is from RNAcentral. Lineage: Eukaryota; Viridiplantae; Streptophyta; Magnoliopsida; Poales; Bromeliaceae.
UCCCGAUCAAACUCCUACUAUUCGGAGUUUAUAAGUACCCAAUCAAAGUACUUUCGCUAACAACAACCUCGACUAGACAUCGUCUCUCACGAGCCUAUCCUUAUAGUCCAACCAGCCUAAGGUUUACAAGGUCUACUAAGACUCAACCCUAGGCUUCGUACUCAGCCACUGUCCUGUCCCCCUGUCUCAAGUUCCUCAGAUCCCUUUCCAUCUGCCUCUUCACACUCUGUGGAAAAUAGGUAGUCAACAACAACUCCUUGAACCUGUUCCACGUGAUAGCAGACAAAUCAGCACGGGGAUCCUCCCGGAUGUCCACCUACCACCUGUAAGCCUCGCCAUCAAGGUGGUGUGUCGCAAACCAAACUCGGUACCGCUCCUCAACAAAAGUGUCAUAGAAUAGUUUCUCCAUAUGCAUUAACCAUUUUUCAACCACCCAAUGAUCUGCUUUCUCCCCAUCAAAGACACGAGGGUUGCAGCGACGGAAUUCAUUCAGUCGUUCCAUCAUCCGCUCUCGCUCCUCAACCCCCACCAUCUCGGGUAACACUGUCCCAACUGCUGCUACAGGUACUGGUGGUGGUACUACUGUCUCCUGUCGGGUCUCUGCCCUCGGAGCUACUGGGGGUGUAUCGGGUACCGGUGACUGUGCUCUCACUGUGGUGCCCCUCUCUGGUACUAUAGGUACAGAAUCCGGAGGUACAGAACCUGGAAUCUCUCUAUCGGUCGUCUGCCGCAGUAAUAGAUCCUCUAACCUCUUCAUCCUGUCCUCCUGCCGACGCGCAGCGUCUAUCUGCUGUCGUGCUGCCGCGGCCUGCUGAGUAACCAACUCUGUCAACGUCGCAAGCUGAUCCUGCAACUCAUGAAGCUCACUGGACCCCGACGUGACGGAAGUCUCUACCUCUUCCGCAGCGGCCGCCUCAGCCGCCCCGGCGGUUCCAGAACGAGUCGUAGGCAUCUUGAACUGCAACACAAAAACAAACAUAGGUCAAUAAACCCUAUACUACUGAACCCUCAUUGAGGAUAUAAACCAGCUAAUCAAGCGAAAGUAAUGAAAUGUAACGCCUACUAACUUCCGAUGUCACGUUGUCGGCCGCCAACGUGACCCUCUGCAAAGUUAGUACUUGCACAUCCCGAUCAAACUCCUACUAUUCGGAGUUUAUAAGUACCCAAUCAAAGUACUUUCGCUAACAACAACCUCGACUAGACAUCGUCUCUCACGAGCCUAUCCUUAUAGUCCAACCAGCCUAAGGUUUACAAGGUCUACUAAGACUCAACCCUAGGCUCUGAUACCACUAUAAUCUGUCACGCCCGGGUACCAGCGGAAGCAUAUCCGGCACGUGCACAGACCCGCCAUACACCUGCAGUAUAUAAGGCGUCUACAAGAAGCAAGUCGAUAGGAAGUAAAACAAGAAGUCCUAUCCUGAUAUCAGAGCAAAAUACAAGUCGAUAUACAACGAGUAUCAAAUCCAAGUCAAAAUACAAAGAGUAUACAAUC